UAUUAAGUUGGUGCAAAAGUAAUUGCGGUUUUUGCCAUUACUUUCAAUUAGGCAAAAAACGCAAUUACUUUUGCACCAAUCUAAUACU
Molecule: microRNA precursor, 88 nt
Filed under: Pan paniscus (pygmy chimpanzee)
Lineage: Eukaryota; Metazoa; Chordata; Mammalia; Primates; Hominidae
Description: miRNA (ENSPPAG00000006243.1)
Source: RNAcentral